RNAcentral lists this ribosomal RNA (319 nucleotides) under uncultured eukaryote. RNAcentral describes it as "partial 18S ribosomal RNA". It matches the Rfam family "Eukaryotic small subunit ribosomal RNA", at positions 1470 to 1796 of the family's 1831-position model. The record is from RNAcentral.
CCCUUAGAUGUUCUGGGCAGCACGCGCGCUACAAUGGUCUUCGCAAACGGAUGCAUUCUCGAAGGAGAAUGCCAAUCUUGGAAUCUAUGCCUUGGUCGGGACAGUUGCUUGCAAUUUUUCGACUCGAACCAGGAAUUCCUUGUAAUCGUGAUUCAUCACAUCACGAUGAAUACGUCCCUGCCCUUUGUACACACCGCCCGUCGCUCCUACCGAUCGAAGAGUUAGGUGAAUUGUUUUGAUCGAUAAGAUUUGACUAUGGUCAACUCUCGUUGUGAAAUUCUGUGAAUCUGACCGUCUAGAGGAAGUAAAAGUCGUAACA